This 494-nucleotide ribosomal RNA is filed under the name uncultured bacterium. Its description in RNAcentral is "partial 16S ribosomal RNA". It matches the Rfam family "Bacterial small subunit ribosomal RNA", at positions 28 to 507 of the family's 1533-position model. The record is from RNAcentral.
GACGAACGCUGGCGGCGCGCUUAACACAUGCAAGUCGAACGGAAAGGCCUGCUUUCCCUUGUGGAUUGCGGGUACUCGAGUGGCGAACGGGUGAGUAACACGUGAGUGAUCUGCCCCCAACUUGGGUAUAAGCCUGGGAAACUGGGUCUAAUUCCCGAUAGGACUGCAGGGUGGUGCCUGUGGUGGAAAACGAUUUUCUAGUGGUUGGGGAUGAGCUCGCGGCCUAUCAGCUUGUUGGUGGGGUAAUGGCCUACCAAGGCGGCGACGGGUAGCCGGCCUGGGAGGGUGGACGGCCGCAUUGGGACUGAGAUACGGCCCAGACUCCUACGGGAGGCAGCAGUGGGGAAUAUUGCACAAUGGGCGGAAGCCUGAUGCAGCGACGCCGCGUGGGGGAUGACGGCCUUCGGGUUGUAAACUCCUUUCGACCGCGAGGAAGCCACCUGGUUGGAAGGGUGGUGACGGUAGUGGUAGAAGAAGCACCGGCCAACUACGUG